UCCUCCAGUUUCUCCAUAUACCGAAAAGAUUUUAUCUUUCUCUUCCUUAUCCGAGCCUUCACCACCACCACCACCACGGCUCUGUAUCCAUUCCCCAUCUCUCCGGCACUAGCACUGCAAUCACCAAAACAAUCACGGUCAAGCAAUUUGUGUAUUAUCACAACACGACGGAAUGAUACAAUUAGGGACUUGAUUUGAUAUUUUUUUUUUCUUUGCUUAGAUUGGAUAUAUUGAUGGGUUUUAUACAAGAACGGUCAAUAUAUUUGUUUGAUUAUACCCACGAAAAACAUGAAUUUGUUAUGGUUACAUGCAAGAGAUCACUUGGAGAAGCAACGUGGGUGUUUUAUGAUUUGUAAAAUUCCCUCUCUAUGAUUUUAUAUUCUUUCAAUUGUAACAAAUCUAAAUUUUGGGAUAAAGGAUUGAAAUUAAGAAUUUGGUUAUUUGGGGCUGGAUUUUUUUCUGGGGUAUUCAAUUUGUUCAAAUUUGUGGCGCUAAUUUGAGAUGAUUAUUGAAUUUGCUGGUUUGCUGUUGAUGGGAGAUUUGGGUUUUGAUUGAAAUGGAUUUUAACACAGCAGUGGUGUUGUAUGUUUCCAUUGAUCAAUAGAAGGUGUUGUGAUGUAUCUCGGUCAUAAAUGGGGAAAUUGAACAGUUUUUGGAGAACGAGUAAAUGGAUGUGAUGAUAACUGAGAAGGAAAGAAGAUGGAGAUCAACAAUGGUGGCUGCUGGUGGCAAUGGGAAGAACUCAUGUGUGGUGCUGAUGAAUAUGCAGAGCCCGUGGAUAACAAAGGAGUCUAUAAUGGUUCUGGCUCGAGUCUUGGUGAACUGAUGAUUUUGUUUCAUGGAUGGAGUUUGCUGAUGAAGGAAAAGAUCCCGAGUGAAGUAAAACAGUUGAGAACGAGUCCAUCAUGAUCCAGAGGAGCUGGAUCGGUAGAGAUGGCAAGUAUGAUAAUUUCCGGUAACCGAUGGAUUGUGGGUUGUUCUUGAGAGGUGGUAAAAGAUCCAGGCUUCUUAUCUAAGUAACUGUAAGUGUUCCGGAUCAUAAGGUUUGCUAGCUAUUUGAUGUUGAUCUAAAGGGAAAUCAAAUAGGAUAUCUGUUAGAGGAAGAUUGGUAUCAAAAGUCUUCACUGAGGUUGAAGCAACUCUUAGGCUAUAAAGGACGCCAGGUAAAGGAAUCAAUUACGUAGAGCCUUGCGAGUUUCAAGAGACGUAAGGAGCGCAAUUGUAACUGAAUCGCUUGGAGGGUGGAUUCGGUAUUAACUACACUACAGUCCAAAGUACGAUAGUAGGCUAGUAUCCGUAGAGACUUAAUACAAUUUGGUGUUCAAAUCUGGACGAGGUCUCGGGAUUUUUCUGCAGUUGCGGUUUCCUCGUUAACAAAACUUCUGGUGUCUUGUGUUUUUCCUUUUCCGCCUUAUAUUAUUUAUCUUUAUAGUGGAUUUACGCAAGUUGUACGUAUUCAAUUUAAGUAUAUACAGUUCAUCUAAUUAUGAUC
Long non-coding RNA from Papaver somniferum (opium poppy), 1492 nucleotides. RefSeq lists it as uncharacterized. The transcript has 2 exons. Lineage: Eukaryota; Viridiplantae; Streptophyta; Magnoliopsida; Ranunculales; Papaveraceae. The record is from RefSeq and is a predicted model, not a curated record.